GAUGAAAAUUUGUGCUUUUAUUGAUUUCAAGGAUGAAAUGUGAGCAUACCAAGGCCAACAGUAGCUACAUGGGUUACGAUUUCUUGGUAAAAUCAUGUCUGUAGAGAGAGAUAAUGAAAGAGAGAGGUUAGGAAGGAUGCUGCCUCUAUAAUUCUCAUGCCAUCUUGACUAUGUUUUACUCUGUGCUUUUGGUUUUGUGGAUUUAUGAUUUUUGUCCUUUUUCAUAUUGAUUCUGCCGUUCGUUCUUCAAGUUCUAGCUGAAUUCUUGUAGUCUGCCUGUGUUUGCACACCUCUAAUUUCUGGAAGCUGUUUGGUUUGCUUGAGUGAAUACGUGCGGUAUGGAAGCUAGCAAAUUAUAUUAAUUUGUUUAAUACUUUCCACUAUGUAGCAAACUAGAACCAGUGCAUUUUGGAUACCAAAAAUAAUGUAGUGGAUAGAUAGAUAGUGUAUUUCUUUUGUUUUCUUAAAGCUGUCAACAAAAGAAAGCUUCGAUGUUUGUAUGCUACAAGAAUCAUUUUGUCUGAAAUUAAUUAUUUGGGAUCUAACAUUUUGUGUAUACCCUGAAGUUUAUCUCCAACCGAAGAAAAUGAAUCUGGUACUUUUCUAAGAGUUCAUUAUGGGAGAAAUGGAUCUGUCGGUGGCUAAAAAGUCCGGGGUCACAGCGAGUACUAGAAAGGGAGUGUGACAUUUGUGCACAAAUGAAAGAAAUUAUUUUAACAUGCUUAGAAGUUCUUUCAAUUUAAAACCUUCUAAAUUAUAUCAAUUAUGAUUGGAUAAAUUGCUAUUUACGAAAAUAUGAAAUGUUUCAGAAAAUUCUUGCCCACUGAGUACAUUAGUACUUAGCCCAAAAAUACUUUCAAA
Long non-coding RNA from Salvia miltiorrhiza (redroot sage), 861 nucleotides. RefSeq lists it as uncharacterized. Lineage: Eukaryota; Viridiplantae; Streptophyta; Magnoliopsida; Lamiales; Lamiaceae. The transcript has 3 exons. The record is from RefSeq and is a predicted model, not a curated record.